GGGUACCGUCAGGCUUAACGUGUAUUAUACGUUAGGAGGUUCUUCCCCUCUGACAGAGCUUUACGACCCAAGAGCCUUCAUCACUCACGCGGUAUUGCUGCGUCAGGCUUUCGCCCAUUGCGCAAAAUUCCCC
RNAcentral lists this ribosomal RNA (133 nucleotides) under uncultured bacterium. RNAcentral describes it as "partial 16S ribosomal RNA". The record is from RNAcentral.